Molecule: ribosomal RNA, 497 nt
Filed under: uncultured bacterium
Lineage: Bacteria
Description: partial 16S ribosomal RNA
Rfam family: Bacterial small subunit ribosomal RNA
Source: RNAcentral
GAUGAACGCUGGCGGCGUGCCUAAUACAUGCAAGUAGAACGCUGAAGGAAGGAGCUUGCUCUUUCCGGAUGAGUUGCGAACGGGUGAGUAACGCGUAGGUAACCUGCCUGGUAGCGGGGGAUAACUAUUGGAAACGAUAGCUAAUACCGCAUAACAGUAGAUGUUGCAUGACAACUAUUUGAAAGGGGCAAUUGCUCCACUACCAGAUGGACCUGCGUUGUAUUAGCUAGUUGGUGAGGUAACGGCUCACCAAGGCGACGAUACAUAGCCGACCUGAGAGGGUGAUCGGCCACACUGGGACUGAGACACGGCCCCGACUCCUACGGGAGGCAGCAGUAGGGAAUCUUCGGCAAUGGACGGAAGUCUGACCGAGCAACGCCGCGUGAGUGAAGAAGGUUUUCGGAUCGUAAAGCUCUGUUGUAAGAGAAGAACGAGUGUGAGAGUGGAAAGUUCACACUGUGACGGUAUCUUACCAGAAAGGGACGGCUAACUACGUG